ACACCGGCAGCUCAAGUGGUAGCCGCUUUUAUUGGGCCUAAAGCGUCCGUAGCCGGUCUGAUAAGUCUCUGGUGAAAUCCCACAGCUUAACUGUGGGAAUUGCUGGAGAUACUAUCAUGACUCGAGGUCGGGAGAGGCUGGAGGUACUCCCAGGGUAGGGGUGAAAUCCUGUAAUCCUGGGAGGACCACCUGUGGCGAAGGCGUCCAGCUGGGACGAACCUGACGGUGAGGGACGAAAGCCAGGGGCGCGAACCGGAUUAGAAACCCGGGUAGUCCUGGCCGUAAACGAUGUGGACUUGGUGUUGGGAUGGCUUCGAGCUGCCCCAGUGCCGAAGGGAAGCUGUUAAGUCCACCGCCUGGGAAGUACGGCCGCAAGGCUGAAACUUAAAUGAAUUGGCGGGG
This 402-nucleotide ribosomal RNA is filed under the name uncultured bacterium. RNAcentral describes it as "partial 16S ribosomal RNA". It matches the Rfam family "Archaeal small subunit ribosomal RNA", at positions 473 to 873 of the family's 1478-position model. The record is from RNAcentral.